RNAcentral lists this ribosomal RNA (253 nucleotides) under uncultured bacterium. RNAcentral describes it as "partial 16S ribosomal RNA". It matches the Rfam family "Bacterial small subunit ribosomal RNA", at positions 524 to 776 of the family's 1533-position model. The record is from RNAcentral.
GACGGAGGAUGCAAGCGUUAUCCGGAAUCACUGGGCGUAAAGCGUCUGUAGGUGGUCAAAUAAGUCAACUGUUAAAUCUUGAGGCUUAACCUCAAAAUCGCAGUCGAAACUAUUAGACUAGAGUAUAGUAGGGGUAAAGGGAAUUUCCAGUGGAGCGGUGAAAUGCGUAGAGAUUGGAAAGAACACCGAUGGCGAAGGCGCUUUACUGGGCUAUUACUAACACUCAGAGACGAAAGCUAGGGUAGCAAAUGGG